Molecule: ribosomal RNA, 404 nt
Filed under: uncultured bacterium
Lineage: Bacteria
Description: partial 16S ribosomal RNA
Rfam family: Bacterial small subunit ribosomal RNA
Source: RNAcentral
GACGAACGCUGGCGGCGUGCUUAAAACAUGCAAGUCGAGCGGAGCGGCGAAAGGGUGAGUAACGCGUGAGUAACUGCCCCCCUCUCGGGGAUAACAGUUGGAAACGGCUGCUAAUACCGGAUAGUGGGGGAUGACGCGCGUCCUAUCAGCUUGUUGGUGGGGUAGGGGCCUACCAAGGCGACGACGGGUAGCCGGCCGGAGAGGGCGACCGGCCACCUUGGGCUGCGAUACGGCCCAAUCUCCUACGUGACGCAGUAGUGGGGAAUCUUGCGCAGUGGUGGCAACCCUAAUGCAGCAACGCGCGUGUGUAAUGACGGCCUAGGGGUUGUAAACCGCUUUCAGCCAUGACGCGUUAGUGGCAGAAGAAGCACCGGCUAACUCCGUGCCAGCAGCCGCGGUAAUUC